CUUGGUCAUUUAGAGGAAGUAAAAGUCGUAACAAGGUUUCCGUAGGUGAACCUGCGGAAGGAUCAUUAUUGAAUCCAUAGGAUGUUGCUGGUCCUUUGGGGCACCGUGCACUCCACCUUUUCAAUUCACCUGUGAACUUAUUGUAGGCCAGUCUUGGCUUAUGUUUUUACACACCCUUUUAUAAAAAUGUUUAUAGAAUGUGUUGGUAGGCCUUUAUGGUCAGAAACUUAAUACAACUUUCAACAACGGAUCUCUUGGUUCUCGCAUCGAUGAAGAACGCAGCGAAUUGCGAUAUGUAAUGUGAAUUGCAGAAUUCAGUGAAUCAUCGAAUCUUUGAACGCACCUUGCGCCCUUUGGCAUUCCACGGGGCAUGCCUGUUUGAGUGUCAUUAAAUUCUCAACUUCAUUAUUAUUUUUGAAGCUUGGACUUUGGGGGUUUGCUGGUGUCAUUGUCAGCUCCUCUUAAAUUCAUUAGCGGAACUUUGUAAGGACCGGCUUUGGUUUGAUAGUGAUAUAUCUAUGCCGUCGCUGUGGACCUUUUUUUUGUUUGGCUUCUAAUGGUCCAUUGAUAUUGGACUGUCUCUCUAAGAGGCAUACACUUUUAAGCUUGACCUCAAUCAGGCAGGACUACCCGCUGAACUUAAGCAUAUCAAUAAGCGGAGGAAAAGAAACUAACAAGGAUUCCCUAGUAACUGCGAGUGAAGAGGAAGAGCUCAAAUUUAAAAUCUGGCUGUUCUAUGCAGUGGCCCGAGUUGUAGUUUAGAGAAGUGUUAUCCGCGCUGGCCUAUGCAAAAGUUUCUUGGAAAAGAACAUCAUAGAGGGUGACAAUCCCGUCUUUGGCAUAGAAUAACCAGGGCUUUUGUGAUAUGCUCUCGACGAGUCGUGUUGUUUGGGAAUGCAGCACUAAAUGGGUGGUAAAUUCCAUCUAAAGCUAAAUAUUGGCGAGAGACCGAUAGCGAACAAGUACCGUGAGGGAAAGAUGAAAAGAACUUUGAAAAGAGAGUUAAACAGUACGUGAAAUUGUUGAAAGGGAAACGCUUGAAGUCAGUCAUGUCUUCCAGGGAUCAAGUUGCCCUCAUGGGUGACCGUACUUUCUGGUUGACGGGUCAGCAUCAAUUUUGACCGUUGGAAAAAGGCCUUGGGAAUGUGGCAUCCUCGGAUGUGUUAUAGACCAUGGUUGAAUACAACGAUUGGGAUUGAGGAACUCAGUGUGCCUAUAUAUGGUUGGGGCUUUCUUGCUUACACCACACACUUAGGAUGCUGGCAUAAUGGCUUUAAUCGACCCGUCUUGAAACACGGACC
RNAcentral lists this ribosomal RNA (1301 nucleotides) under uncultured fungus. Its description in RNAcentral is "eukaryotic LSU rRNA". The stretch from base 607 to 1301 matches the Rfam family "Eukaryotic large subunit ribosomal RNA", at positions 1 to 667 of the family's 3401-position model. The record is from RNAcentral. Lineage: Eukaryota; Fungi.